CUGAAAUUGUACCACAAUGUUUAAUACCUCAAGUAGAAGGUUUGGAUUCAUUUAAGGGGUUAUGGUGCAAACAGUUUAGGAAUUAGGGACCAAAAAGGGGCCAAAAACAACUAUUUAAUUAGUUUCCAGACAAUAACUUGUGUGUAAGUGUAUGAACCUCUCUGAGGCCAACCUUAAAAAUAUGUUUGUUUGCAGUUUUCCGACUGUACCUUCAGACUGAAGGGUCGGUAGGUAGGAAAAAUUUUAUUUUAUCAGCCAAAAUACAGUUUAAACAAGCAGUUACACUAAACCAAGUUUCUUGUGAAGAAAAAAAAAACAUUUUAAAACAACAAACACUGGACAUGCUGAAAACCAACAUCAAAUGAACAGGCAUUUUCAGAUAAAAGACUUUUUAACCAAAACUGAAACUUAGUGUCAUUAUCCAAUUUAUGACAUAAAAUAUGGUACAUGUAUAAUUAUAAGGCCAAUUAAAAUUAAUUGAUAAUUUUUUCCCGCCCGCCCCUAUGAAAUCGGCC
RNAcentral lists this long non-coding RNA (515 nucleotides) under Mytilus galloprovincialis (Mediterranean mussel). The record is from RNAcentral. Lineage: Eukaryota; Metazoa; Mollusca; Bivalvia; Mytilida; Mytilidae.